This is a long non-coding RNA of Mauremys mutica (yellowpond turtle), 741 nucleotides long. RefSeq lists it as uncharacterized. The transcript has 5 exons. Lineage: Eukaryota; Metazoa; Chordata; Testudines; Geoemydidae. The record is from RefSeq and is a predicted model, not a curated record.
UGGAGAUAGCUAGGUUGAUUGGGACACACGAAGCCAAUCAAAGGCUGGCUGGAACUAGUUAAAAGCCUCCCACUUAGUCAGUAAGGUGUGUGUGUGUCAGGAGCGAUAGGAGGAAGCUGUGUUGCUGGAGAAACUGGGUAGUACAAAUCCUAUCAGGCAUAAGGAAGAAAGCCCUGAGUUGCUGCCAGGUGGCAAUUUGCUGGGCAUGAGGAACUCUCUUGGCUGGAAAGAGGAAGAGACAGUUGGAAUGGGAUCCUUGAGCCUGUCCAGCCAUGCCAAUCCCUGCCUCCCACCUGCCAGAAACUCCACUACUCUGUUAGGCAUGUCCUACUGAUAACUGAAAAAUUGAUGACGCUGAGUGGCUAAGUGUUUCAUUUAUUCACAAGGGAUCUGCCCAUGCCUUGUUCAGCACUCCUAAUAAUGGCUUGCAAGAGAAAUCAGCUAUCUAAAAAAUUAGUGAGGACCACAGCCCAGAUCACAGAGGUCUACUGAUCAUGCAUCUUUUCAUCUCCAGUUGUAGUCUUGCCAGAUCUCAGAAGGAAAGAGUGAUCCUUAAAAAUCAGUUCUUAGAUGUGAGCUCUAAAGGAGAAACCCAGAUACUGGUAUUGUAAGAAACAGCUUUGGGACUCAAUUGGAACUCAGUUGAAUUCAAAACCCAAACUCAACAUGAUGGCAUACAUUUCACUUUGUUCUGAAAGCAGGGCUAUCCAUGCAAGUAGCUGUUACAGGACUUUUCCCCAA